This is a long non-coding RNA of Panicum virgatum (switchgrass), 182 nucleotides long. RefSeq lists it as uncharacterized. The record is from RefSeq and is a predicted model, not a curated record. NCBI's taxonomy places the organism in Eukaryota, Viridiplantae, Streptophyta, Magnoliopsida, Poales, Poaceae. The transcript has 2 exons.
CCCGCAGAUUUGGCAUCAAGGGGCUCACUUUGAUAAGAGCUCCUACAGAUGCAGUCCUUGAGGGAGACGCGGGGACUGAGGGCAACUCAGCUUCCCAAUCAGAGGUGGAGAAGCCCCCGAACACUCUUGAGAUGAGUGUUCAUGAUGCGGAGGCUAUGGUUGACUCCAUACUUCGGGAUUCU